This 484-nucleotide ribosomal RNA is filed under the name uncultured bacterium. RNAcentral describes it as "partial 16S ribosomal RNA". It matches the Rfam family "Bacterial small subunit ribosomal RNA", at positions 29 to 507 of the family's 1533-position model. The record is from RNAcentral.
AUUGAACGCUGGCGGCAUGCUUUACACAUGCAAGUCGAACGGCAGCGCGGGCUUCGGCCUGGCGGUGAGUGGAGAACGGGAGAGUAAUACAUCGGAACGUGCCCAGUAGUGGGGGAUAGCUCGGCCAAAUCCGGACUAAUACCGAUUCCGAACUAAGGGUAAAAUCGGGGGACAUUCAGACCUCGGGCUCUUGGACCGCCCGAGGGCAUAGUAGCUAGUUGGUGGGGUAAAGGCCUACCAAGACGACGAUCCGUAGCUGGUCUGAGAGGACGAGCAGCCACACUGGGACUGAGACACGGCCCAGACUCCUACGGGAGGCAGCAGUGGGGAAUUUUGGACAAUGGGCGAAAGCCUGAUCCAGCAAUGCCGCGUGUGUGAUGAAGGCCUUCGGGUUGUAAAGCACUGUUGGAUGGAACGAAAAGGAAUGAGCGAAAAUGACGGUUCGAUGACGGUACCCUCAGAAUAAGCAACGGCUAACUACGUG